Molecule: ribosomal RNA, 491 nt
Filed under: uncultured bacterium
Lineage: Bacteria
Description: partial 16S ribosomal RNA
Rfam family: Bacterial small subunit ribosomal RNA
Source: RNAcentral
AGUGAACGCUGGCGGUAGGCCUAACACAUGCAAGUCGAACGGCAGCACAGUAAGAGCUUGCUCUUACGGGUGGCGAGUGGCGGACAGGGGAGGAAUACAUCGGAAUUUACUUUUUCGUGGGGGAUAACGAAGGGAAACAUACUCGAAUACCGCAUACGACCUACGGGUGGAAGCAGGGGAUCUUCGGACCUUGCUCGAUUGUAUGAGCCGAUGUCGGAUUAGCUUGUUGGCGGGGUAAGGGCCCACCAAGGCGACGAUCCGUAGCUGGGCUGAGAGGAUGAUCAGCCACACUGGAACUGAGACACGGUCCAGACUCCUACGGGAGGCAGCGGUGGGGAAUAUUGGACAAUGGGCGCAAGCCUGAUCCAGCCAUACCGCGUGGGUGAAGAAGGCCUUCGGGUUGUAAAGCCCUUUUGUUGGGAAAGAAAAGCAGCAGGUUAAUACCCCGCUGUUCUGACGGUACCCAAAGAAUAAGCACCGGCUAACUUCGU